GUACCAGGAAAAAGGAGACUUGUAACAUUACAUGUUCGAAGAAACCCAAUGCGGUCAGUCCGUUUUUGUUAGUGUCAUAGUGAACAUUGAAAUAUUGUAAUAAACGGCUUUUACAACAUGUUGCGGAAAAACUGUUGUGUGAUGGCGAUGGUGGUGUUUCUGGUGGCGGUGUUGCCGUCCGCGAGCGCGCAAUUUCCUUCCGCGCCCGACGUGCCGCACAGCGCACCCUCACAACCAAUGACUACAAAACACGUCGGCGCCCUGCUGGGUCUCAUCGACCACAUUCUGACCCCUGCCAUGGUGCCAAAUUUAAAUGAUGACGGCUCUACGCUUGGGAUAAGAAAAUGCCCAAAGGACUGUUAUCUAGUGGGUGGAGGACAGUGUUUAAAAAAAGAUCCCGAUGCGGAGAACCGAAAUUGUUAAUAAUAAAAAAGCUAUAGGUCAUUGAAAGUUUUGAUGGAUUUAAGAAUCAUUCUAAAAUUCUUUAGUGCUUUGUUCUAUUUAAAGUUUUCUAUUUAUUCUAACUAUACAUCGGAACUACAUUUUUUCUAUUUCAAUUUCUUGUCCCAUGGUACUAACAAGUAAUUGACUAGAUGCAGUCUUAUCAAUAGACUUUAAAUAACAAUGCAAAAUGAGUUCAAAAAGUUGUUUACAUUAAUUCGUUCAAAAGCAAAAGAAUUUAAAAUUUUAUUUUCAUUACUAAUUAUACUGUUUGCCUAGUUGCAGUUGUGAAUCAUUAUCUAUGUAUUUUCCUGUUAAAAUUAUAUUAUUAGUACGCUGAGUUAAUGUAAUAUGCGUAUUACUAACAAGAUAGAUUACUGUUUUGUUAUGUGACAUAAGGCGUCCCGACUUGUGCUCCUCUACCUUACUUCCAGUACCUUUGCUUCCGAACGCAACAGUCAGAUUCAUAGAAGUUUUCUGUGUUGGUUUUUUAAAAACGUGUGGAAACGAGACAAAAUAUUGUUCAACUAACAAAGAUGUAGACGUUAAGUUUUAUAUUAUAGGUUGUGUAAUAUUUAUUUAUCAAAGUCGUUUUAAUGAUUGAACUUGCAUUAGAAUAUAUAAAUAAAAA
Molecule: long non-coding RNA, 1072 nt
Organism: Manduca sexta (tobacco hornworm)
Lineage: Eukaryota; Metazoa; Arthropoda; Insecta; Lepidoptera; Sphingidae
Exons: 2
Source: RefSeq, a predicted model, not a curated record